AUAUUAUAAAAUGGCAUUUUACUUCGUUUCCAUAUUUUAUCACGUCUUUUAAAGAUUUAAUCAUUACUAAAUUUAUUUAUUUUUAACUUGGCUUUUUUUACACGGAAUUAUAACGAAGUGUUUUUGAUGUGAUAUAAUCAAGUUUAAUGGAAAAUAAGUUUGUCACUCUGUAACAUCAAAUGGUUGUGUUACGUCUUAUCAUUGCAAGGAUCAACGCAGGAAUAAAAGCGUAAUGUAUAACGUAUAUCAAGGAGCAACAGUGAUGUAACUAUGUAUUUGAGACCUGGAGUCAAUGUUGAGAUUAUUCUAUUUAGAACAACUUAAGGUUGUUCUAAUUAUUUAUACUAGCAGACAUUAUGAUACAAACUGGAUUAAAAUAUGUUGAAUGAGAUUUAUUCUCCUAAAAUUUUAAAUAAUGUAUU
Aphis gossypii (cotton aphid) is the source of this 422-nucleotide long non-coding RNA. RefSeq lists it as uncharacterized. NCBI's taxonomy places the organism in Eukaryota, Metazoa, Arthropoda, Insecta, Hemiptera, Aphididae. The transcript is spliced from 3 exons. The record is from RefSeq and is a predicted model, not a curated record.